AUCUAUGGCCAUACUACCCUGAAUGUGUCCAAUCUCAGAAGCUAAGCAGAGUUGGGCCUGGUUAGUACUUGGAGGGGAGAAAUAAUGAUCUCUGGUAAAGGAAAAUACAGGGGCAAUUAAAA
This is a ribosomal RNA of Aotus nancymaae (Ma's night monkey), 122 nucleotides long. The record is from Ensembl. Lineage: Eukaryota; Metazoa; Chordata; Mammalia; Primates; Aotidae.